AGAGUUUGAUUCUGGCUCAGAACGAACGCUGGCAGCGUGGAUUAGGCAUGCAAGUCGAACGGGAAGCCGUUGAUCAAUCCUUCGGGAGAGUGAUGCGGUGGAGAGUGGCGAAAGGGUGAGUAACACGUAGGUAACCUGCCUCUAAGUUGGGGAUAACCCCGCGAAAGUGGAGCUAAUACCGAAUAUGGUCGUCCCGGGCAUCCGGGAUUGAUCAAAGAUGGGGAUCCUUCGGGACCUGUCGCUUGGAGAGGGGCCUGCGUCCCAUCAGCUAGUUGGUGUGGUAACGGCGCACCAAGGCUUACGGGUAGGUGGUCUGAGAGGAUGGUCACCCACACUGGGACUGAGACACUGCCCAGACUCCUACGGGAGGCUGCAGUCGAGGAUCAUUCGCAAUGCGCGAAAGCGUGACGAUGCGACGCUGCGUGGAGGAUGACGGCCCUAGGGUUGUAAACUCCUGUCAUUCGGGAAAAAUUGUUCAGGGUUAAUACCCCUGAGAAAAGAUGGUACCGGAAGAGGAAGCCACGGCUAACUCUGUGCCAGCAGCCGCGGUAAUACAGAGGUGGCAAGCGUUGUUCGGAUUUACUGGGCGUAAAGCGUGCGUAGGCGGUUUCGUGUGUCGGAUGUGAAAUCCCAUGGCUCAACUGUGGAAUUGCAUUCGAAACUACGAAACUAGAGUGCAGGAAGGGAGAGCGGAAUUCCUGGUGUAGCGGUGAAAUGCGUUGAUAUCAGGAGGAACACCGGUGGCGAAGGCGGCUCUCUGGAAUGUAACUGACGCUCAGGCACGAAAGCGUGGGGAGCAAACAGGAUUAGAUACCCUGGUAGUCCACGCCGUAAACGGUGCGCACUUGGUGUUGAGGUAUUGACCCCUUCAGUGCCGGAGUUAACGCGUUAAGUGCGCCGCCUGGGGAGUACGGCCGCAAGGUUAAAACUCAAAGAAAUUGACGGGAGCCCGCACAAGCGGAGGAGCAUGUGGCUUAAUUCGAUGCAACGCGAAGAACCUUACCAGGGCUUGACAUGUAGCUGCACGCCCCCUGAAAGGGGGGAAGCCUUUGAGGGUGCUACACAGGUGCUGCAUGGCUGUCGUCAGUUCGUGCCGUGAGGUGUUUGGUUAAGUCCAGCAACGAACGCAACCCUUGUGUUUAGUUGCCACCGGCGGCGUUAGUCGUCGAGCACUCUAGACAGACUGCCUGUACAAGCAGGAGGAAGGUGGGGAUGACGUCAAGUCAGUAUGGCCCUUACGCCCUGGGCUGCACACGUGCUACAAUGGUCGGUACAGAAGGAUGCAAUACCGCGAGGUGGAGCAAAUCCCCAAAACCGGCCCCAGUUCGGAUUGGAGUCUGCAACUCGACUCCAUGAAGUUGGAUUCGCUAGUAAUGGCGCAUCAGCUACGGCGCCAUGAAUACGUUCCCGGGCCUUGUACACACCGCCCGUCACAUCAUGAAAGCCGUUUGCUCCCGAAGUCGCUGAGCCAACCCGCAAGGGAGGCAGGUGCCGAAGGUGUGGGUGGUGAUUGGGAUGAAGUCGUAACAAGGUA
RNAcentral lists this ribosomal RNA (1534 nucleotides) under metagenome. RNAcentral's name for it is "bacterial SSU rRNA". It matches the Rfam family "Bacterial small subunit ribosomal RNA". The record is from RNAcentral.